GACGAACGCUGGCGGCGUGCCUAAUACAUGCCAGUAGAACGCACAGUUUAUACCGUAGCUUGCUACACCAUAGACUGUGAGUUGCGAACGGGUGAGUAACGCGUAGGUAACCUGCCUGGUAGCGGGGGAUAACUAUUGGAAACGAUAGCUAAUACCGCAUAAUAUUAAUUAUUGCAUGGUAAUUUAUUGAAAGGUGUAAUUGCAACACUACCAGAGGGACCUGCGUUGUUUUAGCUAGUAGGGGAGGUAACGGCUCACCUAGGCGACGCAGCGUAGCCGACCUGAAAGGGGGCGCCGCCAAGCUGGGACGGGGACACGGCCCAGACUCCUACGGGAGGCAGCAGGAGGGAAUCUUUGGGGAUGGACGAAAGUCUGACCGAGCAACGCCGCGUGAGUGAAGAAGGGUGUCGGGUCGUGUAGCUCGGUUGUAAGUGAAGAACGGGUGUGAGAGUGGAAAGUUCACACUGUGACGGUAUCGGAACAGAAAGCGACGGCUAACUACGUG
This 505-nucleotide ribosomal RNA is filed under the name uncultured bacterium. Its description in RNAcentral is "partial 16S ribosomal RNA". It matches the Rfam family "Bacterial small subunit ribosomal RNA", at positions 28 to 507 of the family's 1533-position model. The record is from RNAcentral.